UUAAAGAAAGAUAGCUAUAGGGUAUAAAUCUAAUAAGUAAUAUCCAGUUUAUCUCCUUGAGACAGAGCUUCUAAACAAUAUCACAAUUGUUUUCCCCCUAGGAAAAAUGUAUAAACUAGUACAAUUGACACUGGAGUUAACUAACUAAUAAUAAUAAUCAGGAGCAAUCAAAGUUGGGCAACAAUCAAGGCUUCAAAACCAUAAAGAAACGUCAAGAAAUGAAGAAGCAGUCUAGAUAUGGAUUAGAAUAAAGGAAAAUCUAACACAGGAGGAACACAGGAACAAUAAAGCUAGAUCAGAGAUGUUAAAACAUUAUCUUCAAUGCACCUGUCUUCAACAUUUUAUAAUGUUGGAAUCUUUACCAAUCUACUUCUUCAGCUUUAACUGGGAAUGUUAGAAGAAGUCUAUGUAACUACCAUUCUCAUGGGAUGUAUUAAAAAAAAGAGUCCAGAUGUUCACCAGAGCACCAAAGAACAGAAAAAUAAGAACCAGAUCUCCAUGGAUGUAGAACAGAAUAGAACAGAACAGAACAGAAUAGGCUUAAUUUGGCCAAGUGUGUUUAGACACACAAGGAAUUUGUCUCUUGUGCAGAAGUUCUCACGAUUUCAAAUGACAUGAUUUGAAACUUAGUCUCAGGCUUCAUCCUACAAGGAGAAAUGCACCAUUGUGGCUGUGUGUGUGGUUGGAGAACUUGAAGUGAAACCCUUGUACUUCAGUUGACUGGAAAAAUGAUAAAAUCGUGCCCUGCUGAACUUUGGAAAAAAGUCAUAGGAAAAAAUAGAAGCACAUGGACAGAAGAAAUGAAAGAAAAUAUUUUCUGUUUUCAAUCAACAACUUUCUCUGUAUCAUGAAGAGUUAUAACUAUGUGUUAUUAUAGUACUCAUAUUAAAAGUAGGUGUAGAAGGGCUA
Molecule: non-coding RNA, 909 nt
Organism: Pantherophis guttatus
Lineage: Eukaryota; Metazoa; Chordata; Lepidosauria; Squamata; Colubridae
Source: RefSeq, a predicted model, not a curated record